UAUUAUCUGCAUACAAAAUGAAUUUCCAAAAAUCUAGUCACAAAUAAAUAUGAUAACACAUUAAGUGUACACAAAAGAAUGAAGAAAUUUUCUAGACUCUGAAGAACCAUUAUUUCCUACGUUAAGAUAGUAAAAACAUGAAAACCAUUAUGUUCAGUUGUAAGUACAAAAUCACAAACAUAUCUGUAAUUUGAUUCAUUUGAUCUAUUUCCGAAAAAAGGCAUUAGGCUACACAAAAGUAAGAAGCUGAGGGGCCAAGAUUCUGAAAUGGGUGUUAAGGAAAAAUUUAUCUCUAAAAAUGAGAAACUUCAUAAAAAUGAUUACAUAUUUUGAAUUUCUGAGAUUUAAAGACUAACAGGUUACAAUCCAUUGGCGGAUCCACAUGGAUGGGAAGAGCUCAAGCCCCCAUGUGGAUUUGUUUUUCUUCUCUUAGGUGUAUAAGGGUCCAAUUAUGCCCCACACUCAUUGGCCAUUAACAAGUAGAAAAUGCAAACAGAAAGAUAUAGACGAGGUGAAGAAACCAUAUCAUUAUACUUUGAUAAUUAAAACUACAUGGAGAAACAAAUCAAGAUCUACGGUUUCUAAAAUUAAACGACGAUCACAAAAAAAAGGUUAAUAGACUGAGAUGAAACAAAGUCUAAAACAAAUAACAAUCUCUUUCAAUAAUAAAAUGAAAACAUCACUCACUGACGAGAGAGGAGAAAGACUGGAUGGCUAGGAACAACUGAGAAGUGAUGUUGGCGAUAAAGAUAAAGCAGCGAAUGCAAAAUAAUAUCAGGGAUUAGGCGAAAUCAACGAUUAGGAAGAAGAACGGCGGAAUAAGCGAACAGAAUGCUAGGGCUGAAAAAAUUGGAAAUGCUAGGGCUCAAAAUUUGGGAAUGCUAG
This 885-nucleotide long non-coding RNA is filed under the name Zostera marina. RNAcentral describes it as "long non-coding RNA (ZMAR_LNC005923)". Lineage: Eukaryota; Viridiplantae; Streptophyta; Magnoliopsida; Alismatales; Zosteraceae. The record is from RNAcentral.